Molecule: ribosomal RNA, 803 nt
Filed under: Staphylococcus aureus
Lineage: Bacteria; Bacillati; Bacillota; Bacilli; Caryophanales; Staphylococcaceae
Description: bacterial SSU rRNA
Rfam family: Bacterial small subunit ribosomal RNA
Source: RNAcentral
UUUAUGGAGAGUUUGAUCCUGGCUCAGGAUGAACGCUGGCGGCGUGCCUAAUACAUGCAAGUCGAGCGAACGGACGAGAAGCUUGCUUCUCUGAUGUUAGCGGCGGACGGGUGAGUAACACGUGGAUAACCUACCUAUAAGACUGGGAUAACUUCGGGAAACCGGAGCUAAUACCGGAUAAUAUUUUGAACCGCAUGGUUCAAAAGUGAAAGACGGUCUUGCUGUCACUUAUAGAUGGAUCCGCGCUGCAUUAGCUAGUUGGUAAGGUAACGGCUUACCAAGGCAACGAUGCAUAGCCGACCUGAGAGGGUGAUCGGCCACACUGGAACUGAGACACGGUCCAGACUCCUACGGGAGGCAGCAGUAGGGAAUCUUCCGCAAUGGGCGAAAGCCUGACGGAGCAACGCCGCGUGAGUGAUGAAGGUCUUCGGAUCGUAAAACUCUGUUAUUAGGGAAGAACAUAUGUGUAAGUAACUGUGCACAUCUUGACGGUACCUAAUCAGAAAGCCACGGCUAACUACGUGCCAGCAGCCGCGGUAAUACGUAGGUGGCAAGCGUUAUCCGGAAUUAUUGGGCGUAAAGCGCGCGUAGGCGGUUUUUUAAGUCUGAUGUGAAAGCCCACGGCUCAACCGUGGAGGGUCAUUGGAAACUGGAAAACUUGAGUGCAGAAGAGGAAAGUGGAAUUCCAUGUGUAGCGGUGAAAUGCGCAGAGAUAUGGAGGAACACCAGUGGCGAAGGCGACUUUCUGGUCUGUAACUGACGCUGAUGUGCGAAAGCGUGGGGAUCAAACAGGAUUAGAUACC